RNA transcript from Piliocolobus tephrosceles (Ugandan red Colobus), 1103 nucleotides. It is a transcript of the gene named protein arginine N-methyltransferase 1 pseudogene, with no coding region annotated. Lineage: Eukaryota; Metazoa; Chordata; Mammalia; Primates; Cercopithecidae. The transcript has a single exon. The record is from RefSeq and is a predicted model, not a curated record.
GAGGAGGAGUAGUUGCGGGUGAAGAUGGCGGCAGCUGAGGCCGUGAACUGCAUCAUGGAGGUGUCCUGUGGCCAGGCGGAAAGCAGUGAGAAGUCCAAUGCUGAGGACAUGACAUCCAAAGAUUACUACUUUGACUCCUACGCCCACUUUGGCAUCCACGAGGAGAUGUUGAAGGACUAGGUGCGUACCCUCACGUACUGCAAUUCCAUGUUUCAUAACCGGCACCUCUUCAAGGACAAGGUGGUGUUGGACGUCGGCUCGGGCACCGGCAUCCUCUGCAUGUUUGCCGCCAAGGCCGGGCCCGCAAGGUCAUUGGGAUCGAGUGUUCCAGUAUCUCUGAUUAUGCGGUGAAGAUCGUCAAAGCCAACAAGUGAGACCACGUGGUGACCAUCAUCAAGGGGAAGGUGGAGGAGGUGGAGCUCCCAGUGGAGAAGGUGGACAUCAUCAUCAGCGAGUGGAUGGGCUACUGCCUCUUCUACGAGUCCAUGCUCAACACCGUGCUCUACGCCCGGGACAAGUGGCUGGUGCCCGAUGGCCUCAUCUUCCCAGACCGGGCCACGCUGUAUGUGACGGCCAUCGAGGACCAGCAGUACAAAGACUACAAGAUCCACUGGUAGGAGAACGUGUAUGGCUUCAACAUGUCUUGCAUCAAAGAUGUGGCCAUCAAGGAGCCCCUAGUGGAUGUGGUGGACCCCAAACAGCUGGUCACCAACGCCUGCCUCAUAAAGGAGGUGGACAUCUACACCGUCAAGGUGGAAGACCUGACCUUCACCUCCCCAUUCUGCCUGCAAGUGAAGCAAAAUGACUAGGUGCACGCGCUGGUGGCCUACUUCAACAUCGAGUUCACGUGCUGCCACAAGAGGACCGGCUUCUCCACCAGCCCUGAGUCCCCGUACACACACUGGAAGCAGACAGUGUUCUACAUGGAGGACUACCUGACCGUGAAGAUGGGCGAGGAGAUCUUCGGCACCAUCGGCACGCGGCUCAACGCCAAGAACAACCGGGACCUGGACUUCACCAUCGACCUGGACUUCACCAUCGACCUGGACUUCAAGGGCUAGCUCUGCAAGCUGUCCUGCUUCACUGACUACCGGAUGUGCUGA